GACGAACGCUGGCGGCGUGCUUAACACAUGCAAGUCGAACGGAAAGGCCCUGCUUUUGUGGGGUGCUCGAGUGGCGAACGGGUGAGUAACACGUGAGUAACCUGCCCUUGACUUUGGGAUAACUUCAGGAAACUGGGGCUAAUACCGGAUAGGAGCUCCUGCUGCAUGGUGGGGGUUGGAAAGUUUCGGCGGUUGGGGAUGGACUCGCGGCUUAUCAGCUUGUUGGUGGGGUAGUGGCUUACCAAGGCUUUGACGGGUAGCCGGCCUGAGAGGGUGACCGGGCACAUUGGGACUGAGGUACGGCCCAGACUCCUACGGGAGGCAGCAGUGGGGAAUAUUGCGCAAUGGGCCGGAGCCUGAUGCAGCAACGCCGGGUGCGGGAUGACGGGCUUCGGGUUAUAAACCGCCUUCGACUGUGACGAAGCGUGAGUGACGGUAAUGGGUAAAGAAGCAACGGCUAACUACGUG
RNAcentral lists this ribosomal RNA (468 nucleotides) under uncultured bacterium. RNAcentral's name for it is "partial 16S ribosomal RNA". It matches the Rfam family "Bacterial small subunit ribosomal RNA", at positions 28 to 507 of the family's 1533-position model. The record is from RNAcentral.